RNAcentral lists this long non-coding RNA (464 nucleotides) under Populus trichocarpa (black cottonwood). Its description in RNAcentral is "long non-coding RNA (PTRI_LNC002995)". Lineage: Eukaryota; Viridiplantae; Streptophyta; Magnoliopsida; Malpighiales; Salicaceae. The record is from RNAcentral.
GGUGGUCUUACUAUCAUGAUACUCCUUGUCACUUUCUUCGUCUCCUCCGUCGUCGCUUCACCACCGUACGACCUCAUCACGCUACCACCACUACCAUCAGAUUCUAUUCAUAACAAAAAAAGAUUAUUAAAAAAAUCAAAAUUAGAUUGUAAUGAUGAGAUUCGAAUCUUCUUUACGGCGUGCAAAGAAAAAAAAACUAUUCCAAUUCUCUUAUUUACAGGAACCGUCCGACUCAAAUCAGUUGAUUUCAUCAUUUUAUUAUGGUUCAUGAUCGUCUUGGCAAUAAUUGGUUUGCGUACCCUUGCCGGAGUUUGACCGGAGACCGUAGCUCGGUUUCUUCCGUAGCUUCCCGAGGCCGUUUUCCGGAAGAGGACCAGCAACGGUGUCGUCCCAGAGAUGAUCAAGAAGACUCAUGGCGCACGUUAGAAAAAAAACGGCGUAAUUUGGGGAAAGAGACACCGCCC